GUGAGGAAUAUUGCGCAAUGGAGGCAACUCUGACGCAGCCAUGCCGCGUGCAGGAAGAAGGCGCUACGCGUUGUAAACUGCUUUUAACCGGGAAGAAACCCCAGGACGUGUCCUGGGUUGACGGUACCGGAGGAAUAAGCACCGGCUAACUUCGUGCCAGCAGCCGCGGUAAUACGAAGGGUGCAAGCGUUAUCCGGAUUCAUUGGGUUUAGAGGGUGCGUAGGCGGAGCGUUAAGUCAGUGGUGAAAUCCUGCAGCUUAACUGUAGACUUGCCAUUGAUACUGGCGCUCUUGAGUGCGCUUGAAGUGGGCGGAAUGUGCCGUGUAGCGGUGAAAUGCUUAGAUAUGGCACAGAACACCAAUUGCGAAGGCAGCUCACUAAGGCGAUACUGACGCUGAGGCACGAAAGCGUGGGGAUCGAACAGGAUUAGAUACCCGUGUAGUCC
Molecule: ribosomal RNA, 445 nt
Filed under: uncultured bacterium
Lineage: Bacteria
Description: partial 16S ribosomal RNA
Rfam family: Bacterial small subunit ribosomal RNA
Source: RNAcentral